UACGUAGGGUGCAAGCGUUGUCCGGAAUUAUUGGGCGUAAAGAGCUCGUAGGCGGUUUGUCGCGUCUGCUGUGAAAACUCGGGGCUUAACCCUGGGCCUGCAGUGGGUACGGGCAGACUAGAGUGCGGUAGGGGAGACUGGAAUUCCUGGUGUAGCGGUGAAAUGCGCAGAUAUCAGGAGGAACACCGGUGGCGAAGGCGGAUCGCUGGGCCAACACUGACGCUGAGACGCGAAAGCUAGGGUAGCAAACGGG
RNAcentral lists this ribosomal RNA (253 nucleotides) under uncultured bacterium. Its description in RNAcentral is "partial 16S ribosomal RNA". It matches the Rfam family "Bacterial small subunit ribosomal RNA", at positions 524 to 776 of the family's 1533-position model. The record is from RNAcentral.